CGGAGACAUGCUGGGAAAAGACGAGAAAGCCUGGAGGAAUUCAUUUAUUUUUUAGAGAUUGUUCCGUUGUAGCUCAGGAAACGUAAUGGGGAGAAUGGAUACGAAAGAAGACAAGACGAGAAGAGAAAAGGGGCUGUGUGUACUGCAGGACUGUUGCUUUGGAGCGUGCAUGUUGUUCUCCAGGAAGCUCCGAGCAUUGGUGAUCAGUUUCACAAUUUACACUGGGCAGACGACAAAACAGGAGAAAAUUAAGAUGAAACAGAUCGCACAGCAGUCGGUCUACACAUGAAGAUGAAAUGAAAAUUCAUCCCAUCCCUCAAGAUCAAAG
Molecule: long non-coding RNA, 328 nt
Organism: Triplophysa rosa
Lineage: Eukaryota; Metazoa; Chordata; Actinopteri; Cypriniformes; Nemacheilidae
Exons: 4
Source: RefSeq, a predicted model, not a curated record